Molecule: small RNA, 447 nt
Filed under: Pongo abelii (Sumatran orangutan)
Lineage: Eukaryota; Metazoa; Chordata; Mammalia; Primates; Hominidae
Description: processed transcript
Source: RNAcentral
GACUCAAAUGGAUGCUAAAAAGCCAAGGAAAUGCGAUUUGACUCCCUUCCUGGUUUUGAGAGCAAUAAAGAAACAAAAGUUUACCUCUGCAAAGAAAGGGGCUUCCUGUAAGAGACGGGCUUAUCAGUGAGUGUCACACAGUGGAAGAGGAUAUCCGAGGGUCAUUCAUUGUCUCAUUUCCGUGUCUCAUCAGCACUUCCUAUACAAAAAGCAGGAACAAAACAAAAUCCUGAUCCGACCAUUUGGUGUUAGGCAAAGGAAUGGAAAUCAGUUCAAGCUGAAGAGACAGCAAACAGCAGAGAUGUUAAUUGCUAGUUCUGUCUAUGUUUUUAGGUUGGCACACUAUUAUUUAUGGUAAUGCAUUCACCUGUUAAAUGCAAAUGGAAGACUCGAACUAGAAGAACUUGUAAUGAUCAUUGCAAGUUAACAUUAAAACGUUUAAAAUAA